GACGAACGCUGGCGGCGUGCUUAACACAUGCAAGUCGAACGGAAAGGCCCUGCUUUUGUGGGGUGCUCGAGUGGCGAACGGGUGAGUAACCCGUGAGUAACCUGCCCUUGACUUUGGGAUAACUUCAGGAAACUGGGGCUAAUACCGGAUAGGAGCUCCUGCUGCAUGGUGGGGGUUGGAAAGUUUCGGCGGUUGGGGAUGGACUCGCGGCUUAUCAGCUUGUUGGUGGGGUAGUGGCUUACCAAGGCUUUGACGGGUAGCCGGCCUGAGAGGGUGACCGGCCACAUUGGGACUGAGAUGCGGCCCAGACUCCUACGGGAGGCAGCAGUGGGGAAGAUUGCACAAUGGGCGGAAGCCUGAUGCAGCAACGCCGCGUGCGGGAUGACGGCCUUCGGGUUGUAAACCGCAUUCGCCUGUGACGAAGCGUGAGUGACAGUAAUGGGUAAAGAAGCACCGGCUAACUACGUG
Molecule: ribosomal RNA, 468 nt
Filed under: uncultured bacterium
Lineage: Bacteria
Description: partial 16S ribosomal RNA
Rfam family: Bacterial small subunit ribosomal RNA
Source: RNAcentral